UUUCAGUCUCGCUUAUAAUUC
Molecule: non-coding RNA, 21 nt
Filed under: Caenorhabditis elegans
Lineage: Eukaryota; Metazoa; Nematoda; Chromadorea; Rhabditida; Rhabditidae
Source: RNAcentral